CAACCAUCGCCGCGCCGCCCAUGGCCACUCCAACGGCUAUGAAGCGCUCGCUGUGAACCCCGUGCCGCUCGAUCACGCGAGCUGCCCGCAGGGCGACAUCGUCACCCGCGCGAAGUUCGUCGAGGCGCUGGAGCUCGGCGAACAGCACGGCUACCGCAACGCGCAGACCACCGUGGUCGCGCCGACCGGCACCAUUGGCCUUGUG
RNAcentral lists this unclassified non-coding RNA (205 nucleotides) under Hevea brasiliensis (rubber tree). The record is from RNAcentral. Lineage: Eukaryota; Viridiplantae; Streptophyta; Magnoliopsida; Malpighiales; Euphorbiaceae.